UACGUAGGGUGCAAGCGUUAAUCGGAAUUACUGGGCGUAAAGCGUGCGCAGGCGGUUUUGUAAGUCUGACGUGAAAUCCCCGGGCUCAACCUGGGAAUUGCGUUGGAGACUGCAAGGCUAGAAUCUGGCAGAGGGGGGUAGAAUUCCACGUGUAGCAGUGCAAUGCGUAGAGAUGUGGAGGAACACCGAUGGCGAAGGCAGCCCCCUGGGUCAAGAUUGACGCUCAUGCACGAAAGCGUGGGGAGCAAACAGG
This 253-nucleotide ribosomal RNA is filed under the name uncultured bacterium. RNAcentral describes it as "partial 16S ribosomal RNA". It matches the Rfam family "Bacterial small subunit ribosomal RNA", at positions 524 to 776 of the family's 1533-position model. The record is from RNAcentral.